AGUUCGCCCCUCCAAGCCGCCGCCGCACGAAGUUACGGGGUCUGUCAUUGCGUGUCUGAGCGGUGGUCGACGAUGGUUUGUCGGUCGUCGUUUCGUUUUCCCGCGGUUUCUCGCUCGUUUUUUCCGUUUUCCGUAACUUGAAUCUAUUGGUGCCCCUGUACUUGCUGGUGGUUGUUUCAACGGGACUCUCGGAGUCAGUGACCUCGGGUGGUGCUGUUGCCUUCGUUCGACGCAGGAACGGACGUCGCUCUCUUGCCGCCUGUUGACAAAACAAUAGAUCGCGGCCAUCUUGAAUGAAAUGAGAAAAUGUAGAGUGUACUCCAUACUUUUUGAAAUUGUAAAAUAAAACAACUGUA
Long non-coding RNA from Melitaea cinxia (Glanville fritillary), 356 nucleotides. RefSeq lists it as uncharacterized. The transcript is spliced from 2 exons. NCBI's taxonomy places the organism in Eukaryota, Metazoa, Arthropoda, Insecta, Lepidoptera, Nymphalidae. The record is from RefSeq and is a predicted model, not a curated record.